RNAcentral lists this ribosomal RNA (434 nucleotides) under uncultured bacterium. RNAcentral's name for it is "partial 16S ribosomal RNA". It matches the Rfam family "Bacterial small subunit ribosomal RNA", at positions 29 to 507 of the family's 1533-position model. The record is from RNAcentral.
AGCGAACGCUGGCGGCAGGCCUAACACAUGCAAGUCGAACGAACCUUUCGGGGUUAGUGGCGGACGGGUGAGUAACACGUGGGAACGUGCCUUUAAGUUCGGAAUAACUCAGGGAAACUUGUGCUAAUACCGAAUGUGCCCUUCGGGGGAAAGAUUUAUCGCCUUUAGAGCGGCCCGCGUCUGAUUAGCUAGUUGGUUGAGGUAAUGGCUCACCAAGGCGACGAUCAGUAGCUGGUCUGAGAGGAUGAUCAGCCACAUUGGGACUGAGACACGGCCCAAACUCCUACGGGAGGCAGCAGUGGGGAAUCUUGCGCAAUGGGCGAAAGCCUGACGCAGCCAUGCCGCGUGAAUGAUGAAGGUCUUAGGAUUGUAAAAUUCUUUCACCGGGGACGAUAAUGACGGUACCCGGAGAAGAAGCCCAGGCUAACUUCGUG